CCGCCGGCGACCGGCGCACGGGUGAGUAACACGUAUGCAACCUGGCCGUGACAGAUGGAUAACCGGGAGAAAUCCCGCCUAAUACAACAUAAUGCCGGGAGGGGACAUCCCCUGCCGGCCAAAGGGGCGGACCCCGGUCACGGAUGGGCAUGCGGCGCAUUAGGUAGUUGGUGGGGCAACGGCCCACCAAGCCGACGAUGCGUAGGGGUUCUGAGAGGAAGGUCCCCCACAUUGGAACUGAGACACGGUCCAAACUCCUACGGAAGGCAGCAG
This 273-nucleotide ribosomal RNA is filed under the name uncultured bacterium. Its description in RNAcentral is "partial 16S ribosomal RNA". It matches the Rfam family "Bacterial small subunit ribosomal RNA", at positions 85 to 354 of the family's 1533-position model. The record is from RNAcentral.